This 75-nucleotide transfer RNA is filed under the name Candidatus Uabimicrobium amorphum. RNAcentral's name for it is "Uabimicrobium amorphum tRNA". It matches the Rfam family "tRNA". Rfam says of the family: Transfer RNA (tRNA) molecules are approximately 80 nucleotides in length. Lineage: Bacteria; Pseudomonadati; Planctomycetota; Candidatus Uabimicrobiia; Candidatus Uabimicrobiales; Candidatus Uabimicrobiaceae. The record is from Rfam by way of RNAcentral.
GGGGAAGUAGCUCAACCGGGAUAGAGCGGCGGACUCAUAAUCCGCAGGCUGCAGGUUCAAGUCCUGCCUUCCCAA